Molecule: transfer RNA, 90 nt
Filed under: Alphaproteobacteria bacterium
Lineage: Bacteria; Pseudomonadati; Pseudomonadota; Alphaproteobacteria
Description: tRNA-Ser
Rfam family: tRNA
About the family: Transfer RNA (tRNA) molecules are approximately 80 nucleotides in length. Their secondary structure includes four short double-helical elements and three loops (D, anti-codon, and T loops). Further hydrogen bonds mediate the characteristic L-shaped molecular structure. tRNAs have two regions of fundamental functional importance: the anti-codon, which is responsible for specific mRNA codon recognition, and the 3' end, to which the tRNAs corresponding amino acid is attached (by aminoacyl-tRNA synthetases). tRNAs cope with the degeneracy of the genetic code in two manners: having more than one tRNA (with a specific anti-codon) for a particular amino acid; and 'wobble' base-pairing, i.e. permitting non-standard base-pairing at the 3rd anti-codon position.
Source: RNAcentral
GGAGGGGUGGCCGAGUGGUUGAAGGCGCACGCCUGGAAAGUGUGUAAACGGGCAACCGUUUCGUGAGUUCGAAUCUCAUCUCCUCCGCCA